CAGCUCUCCGAGUAGUGUGGACGCUUAUUGGGCCUAAAGCAUCCGUAGCUUGCUAGAUAAGUCCUCUGUUAAAUCCACCGAUUCAAUCGUUGGAUUGCGGGGGAUACUGUUUGGCUAGGGGACGGGAGAGGUCGACGGUAUUUCCGGGGUAGGGGUGAAAUCCUAUAAUCCCGGGAGGACCACCAGUGGCGAAGGCUGUCGACUAGAACGCGCCCGACGGUGAGGGAUGAAAGCUGGGGGAGCGAACCGGAUUAGAUACCCGAGUAGUCC
RNAcentral lists this ribosomal RNA (270 nucleotides) under uncultured archaeon. RNAcentral describes it as "partial 16S ribosomal RNA". It matches the Rfam family "Archaeal small subunit ribosomal RNA", at positions 477 to 747 of the family's 1478-position model. The record is from RNAcentral.